GAUGAAGGCAAUCAUUACAAAGGAAGAAGGGUUGGGAUUGGAAAUAUCAGAAACUCUGGCAUUCCCAAUGUUAACUAACUUAAACUUAAAUCAUUUGGAAAGUUUGAUGUGCUUCUCUUGCAAAAAGUGUUCACGAGAAGCUCGGAGUCAAGACCGCAUCAAGUCAUACUCCACUGCACUCUUUAGUAAAGAGGUUGCAUUUCCUAAAUUGGAGGCAUUAGAUAUCACUAGCUUGGACAAUAUUGAGAUGAUAUGGGA
Long non-coding RNA from Eucalyptus grandis, 258 nucleotides. RefSeq lists it as uncharacterized. The transcript has 3 exons. Lineage: Eukaryota; Viridiplantae; Streptophyta; Magnoliopsida; Myrtales; Myrtaceae. The record is from RefSeq and is a predicted model, not a curated record.